AUAUUAUAAUAUAAAAUUGCAAAUUUUAAGAUGAAAAAAAAAUUCUAAGGCUUAAAGA
This 58-nucleotide transfer RNA is filed under the name Grapholita molesta (oriental fruit moth). Its description in RNAcentral is "tRNA-Cys". Lineage: Eukaryota; Metazoa; Arthropoda; Insecta; Lepidoptera; Tortricidae. The record is from RNAcentral.